This 253-nucleotide ribosomal RNA is filed under the name uncultured bacterium. RNAcentral describes it as "partial 16S ribosomal RNA". It matches the Rfam family "Bacterial small subunit ribosomal RNA", at positions 524 to 776 of the family's 1533-position model. The record is from RNAcentral.
GACGUAGGGCGCGAGCGUUGUCCGGAUUUAUUGGGCGUAAAGAGCUCGUAGGCGGCUUGUUGCGUCGACUGUGAAAACCCGCAGCUUAACUGCGGGCCUGCAGUUGAUACGGGCAGGCUAGAGUUCGGUAGGGGAGACUGGAAUUCCUGGUGUAGCGGUGAAAUGCGCAGAUAUCAGGAGGAACACCGGUGGCGAAGGCGGGUCUCUGGGCCGAUACUGACGCUGAGGAACGAAAGCGUGGGGAGCGAACAGG